UACGAAGGGGACUAGCGUUGUUCGGAAUCACUGGGCGUAAAGCGCACGUAGGCGGAUAUGCCAGUCAGGGGUGAAAUCCCGGGGCUCAACCUCGGAACUGCCUUUGAUACAGCAUGUCUUGAGUCCGAUAGAGGUGGGUGGAAUUCCUAGUGUAGAGGUGAAAUUCGUAGAUAUUAGGAAGAACACCAGUGGCGAAGGCGGCCCACUGGAUCGGUACUGACGCUGAGGUGCGAAAGCGUGGGGAGCAAACAGG
RNAcentral lists this ribosomal RNA (253 nucleotides) under uncultured bacterium. RNAcentral's name for it is "partial 16S ribosomal RNA". It matches the Rfam family "Bacterial small subunit ribosomal RNA", at positions 524 to 776 of the family's 1533-position model. The record is from RNAcentral.